This 238-nucleotide unclassified non-coding RNA is filed under the name Melitaea cinxia (Glanville fritillary). RNAcentral's name for it is "misc RNA ENSMCXG00005018139.1". Lineage: Eukaryota; Metazoa; Arthropoda; Insecta; Lepidoptera; Nymphalidae. The record is from RNAcentral.
CUCAUAUAUAUGCAAAGUUCUCAUCAAUAGAGACGAAUUAAGUUCAAACAGCAGGUAAUUGCUAUAAAUCGUUAAAGAGUUCCCUCGACUAACUUUUGUCUCCAUCAUCAGACUGUAAUGGCACUUAUAACUCAUACAGGUGCAAAGUUCUCAUCAAUAGAAAUGAAUUAAGUUCAAAAAGCAGGUAAUUGCUAUAAAUUGUUGAAGAGUUCCCUCGACUAUCUUUCUUCUCCAUCAU